UUGUGNCANCAGCCGCGGUAAUACAGAGGGUGCGAGCGUUAAUCGGAUUUACUGGGCGUAAAGCGUGCGUAGGCGGCUUUUUAAGUCGGAUGUGAAAUCCCUGAGCUUAACUUAGGAAUUGCAUUCGAUACUNGGAAGCUAGAGUAUGGGAGAGGAUGGUAGAAUUCCAGGUGUAGCGGUGAAAUGCGUAGAGAUCUGGAGGAAUACCGAUGGCGAAGGCAGCCAUCUGGCCUAAUACUGACGCUGAGGUACGAAAGCAUGGGGAGCAAACAGGAUUAGAUACCCUGGUAGUCCAUGCCGUAAACGAUGUCUACUAGCCGUUGGGGCCUUUGAGGCUUUAGUGGCGCAGCUAACGCGAUAAGUAGACCGCCUGGGGAGUACGGUCGCAAGACUAAAACUCAAAUGAAUUGACGGGGGCCCGCACAAGCGGUGGAGCAUGUGGUUUAAUUCGAUGCAACGCGAAGAACCUUACCUGGNCUUGACAUACUAAGAACNUUCCAGAGAUGGAUUGGUGCCUUCGGGAACNUNNAUACAGGUGCUGCAUGG
RNAcentral lists this ribosomal RNA (546 nucleotides) under Acinetobacter calcoaceticus. RNAcentral's name for it is "bacterial SSU rRNA". It matches the Rfam family "Bacterial small subunit ribosomal RNA", at positions 503 to 1048 of the family's 1533-position model. Lineage: Bacteria; Pseudomonadati; Pseudomonadota; Gammaproteobacteria; Moraxellales; Moraxellaceae. The record is from RNAcentral.